GGGUGAUCUGGCUGAGACAUUUGUCACUCCAUUGAUCACCAGGGUUGAUUCACCUGAUCUGGCUGGUUAGGUGGGUGUCCACAUAGAGAAAGACCAUCCUUCUUAGUCAGGGGUGCAUAAGUACCUGCGCUCCCCUGCUAGAACUUCCAAACAAGCUCUCUAGGUCCAUUUGUAGGAAAAUGUAGGGUAGUCAAGCUUCCAAGAACCCAGACACAUCCAAAUGAGGUGCUGAAUGUGGCAGUCCGCAUUUCUUU
Molecule: small nuclear RNA, 254 nt
Filed under: Felis catus (domestic cat)
Lineage: Eukaryota; Metazoa; Chordata; Mammalia; Carnivora; Felidae
Description: 7SK RNA
Rfam family: 7SK RNA
About the family: 7SK was discovered as an abundant small nuclear RNA in the mid-70s but a possible function has only recently been suggested. Two independent studies have found that 7SK RNA binds the CDK9/cyclin T complex (known as elongation factor P-TEFb).
Source: Rfam by way of RNAcentral